RNAcentral lists this ribosomal RNA (497 nucleotides) under uncultured bacterium. RNAcentral describes it as "partial 16S ribosomal RNA". It matches the Rfam family "Bacterial small subunit ribosomal RNA", at positions 28 to 507 of the family's 1533-position model. The record is from RNAcentral.
GAUGAACGCUGGCGGCGUGCCUAAUACAUGCAAGUCGAGCGAACGGACGAGAAGCUUGCUUCUCUGAUGUUAGCGGCGGACGGGUGAGUAACACGUGGAUAACCUACCUAUAAGACUGGGAUAACUUCGGGAAACCGGAGCUAAUACCGGAUGAUAUUUUGAACCGCAUGGUUCAAAAGUGAAAGACGGUCUUGCUGUCACUUAUAGAUGGAUCCGCGCUGCAUUAGCUAGUUGGUAAGGUAACGGCUUACCAAGGCAACGAUGCAUAGCCGACCUGAGAGGGUGAUCGGCCACACUGGAACUGAGACACGGUCCAGACUCCUACGGGAGGCAGCAGUAGGGAAUCUUCCGCAAUGGGCGAAAGCCUGACGGAGCAACGCCGCGUGAGUGAUGAAGGUCUUCGGAUCGUAAAACUCUGUUAUUAGGGAAGAACAUACGUGUAAGUAACUGUGCACAUCUUGACGGUACCUAAUCAGAAAGCCACGGCUAACUACGUG